Molecule: transfer RNA, 72 nt
Filed under: Fukomys damarensis (Damara mole-rat)
Lineage: Eukaryota; Metazoa; Chordata; Mammalia; Rodentia; Bathyergidae
Rfam family: tRNA
About the family: Transfer RNA (tRNA) molecules are approximately 80 nucleotides in length. Their secondary structure includes four short double-helical elements and three loops (D, anti-codon, and T loops).
Source: Rfam by way of RNAcentral
GUGAAUGUAGCUCAGAGGCAGGGUGCAUGCUUUACAUGCACAAGGCCCUGGGUUUAAUCCCCAGCGCUAACA